Long non-coding RNA from Olea europaea var. sylvestris, 1107 nucleotides. RefSeq lists it as uncharacterized. The transcript has 2 exons. Lineage: Eukaryota; Viridiplantae; Streptophyta; Magnoliopsida; Lamiales; Oleaceae. The record is from RefSeq and is a predicted model, not a curated record.
AAGAAAUAUAAAAUAAUUUUUUAAGAGGAAAUUAGGCCAAAUAUGGUCCAAAAGUUACAAAAUUGAAUAAUACCAUUUAAAACUAAUUAAACAAUUUGAAACGUAAUUAAUACGUCCAAAGGACUCAAACCUCAAAACAUAAAGAGAGAAACAUGGUGGCGUUUCUUCAACCUUUUCCCAUUUUCAUUACCGUAAUAGACUAAAAAGAGCAAAAACAUGAUGAUGUCAAGGAUGGCGCCACCACUGUAUUUGGGCCAGCAGCCUACCGAGCAUAUAUGGGUGCAUCUCUUCACCUCCGUCGACCAAUGGGGCUUUCUUACAAGUUUAUGGCAACACCACCAUUCGUCACAGCUCCUUCGCAACCAGCCAACCACAAUCACCUCUGGGCAGAUCGGCUUCGCCAACUCGAAGAGCGCAGAUGCGACCUCGUGGUUCCAACAAGAAGCAACUUUACCAAUUUUGUGAAUUGCUAGAUAUGUAUCAGAUAUAACUUUGAUUCUCUGCGUGGGAAAUGUUUGAGAAAAUGACGCAGUGGAAUUUUUAUGUUUGGUUAGUGAUGAUAUAUGGGUAUUUUAAGAAGGGCGAUAUCGACACUAGGGAUUUUUGAUCGGAUGAGUUUGAGGAACUUGAUUGUUUGGAAUUCGUUGAUUUUUGGGUACAUGCUAAAGUUUGAGAAAUGAAGGUACAACUAAACCCAAGAGUUUCAACACUGGAUGCUUUUGUGGUGUCCAAGAGAUUGUUCACGUAGAGGCAUGCAAAAGUGUUUUCUAGUCUUCAUUUUAUUUGGGCUGGUAUUAUCGAUUUCACUCUUAAUUUUUAUUAUUAUUGCAGGAGCAGUUGAACACAGUUGCUUGAAGUAGCAACGAUUAUUAUAGUAACCAAACAAGCAUCAAGGGCUAGUGACACAACUUUACACAUUAUAACCUUUAAUUCCUUUUAAAGCUGUAAUAUUUGAAUCGAACUUUACUCUUUUCAUUGGGAUAAUUGAACUCAAUAACACCAAUGCAGGAUGAUCUUUAUCCUUCUCAACAAAGAUUGCAUGUGUUGGUAAUGUAUAUAUAUGUUAUGCAUUUUGAAUAAGAACUUGGUUUUUAUGUUGGAUAGGAA